GCCUUCUAUCCCCUCCCCCUCCCCGGUUUCUCGGGCGCGCCGGCGCGCCGUGCCGUCACGUGACGUCUCCGCGCGUCCACGGGCUCCGCGCUGCGGGGUUGUUGGCCAGGGAGAAAAGACUGCGAAGUGGCCGCGGCGGUGGCCGGAAAGAGCUUCAAUGGAAAGGACAACAUUGUCAUCUUCAAGUUAACUGGUGAUAUAAAAUCAAUAAUGCUAGUUCACAGAGUCAUUAAUACAAGUAGGGACUCCCUUUGCAACACAAAGAAUCAACCACUAGUGAGGAAAAAAACCUCUAACUUUACUAACUGUCUGUGAAGAUGAUGUUUUAUUCUUAUAACAGACAUCAGUGGGAUCUAUAAUAGAAAUAUGAGUAUUGGGAGCUCCCAGUGAGGAAACUCCUUCUACCAAUGUGUCUUAACAGUUUUAGAAAGUUGGGCUUUGAGAGGUUGUGACUUUCCCAGGAUUACAGACAUUAUAUGUCAGACCCUGGACUCGAAUCCUGCCUAAGGUGAGCUUUCUCUAUCCACUAAACCAUGCCUGCCUCAAAUAUUUAGAAAUUUUUUAUAGAAAAAAUUAUAUAAACUUUCUGCUUAGUGAUUUUAAUCCUUAUUGGUUAAAGUUAAAUAUAACCCACUUUUUUUUUAAAUUGUCUUAUGAAAGAAGCUCAAAAUCUCUUCAGUCUAUAUUCUUACUGUUCCCAUGGUGCCUUGCCAUGCCUUUCUAAUUCUUUCAUCUCUUUUAAGGCAUAAUUUACUCAGUAUACCUUUAAGCCAGAAAUGUACUAUAAUUACUCAGCUUGAAUGCUCUCCAUUCAAACGAUCCUCAAAAUAUUUUGUGCGUCUUUCCUUGAUAAAUUGGGAAAUGCAAUGGAUUUCUGUCACCAGGUUAAAUAGUAGCAGUAGCAAUAGCAGUAUGGGAUCUUAAGCUUCCAAAGUAAAAUUUGUUAAUUAGCCUAUUUCAUUAAUACCAUAUUUCAUAUACUAUGUUCUUCUUCAAAUUACCUAUUCCCCUCUCCAACCCCAAGACCUGCAGUUUCAUUGGAAUAGGCCACUUAUGGUGAACCUUUUAGAGAAUGAAUUUCCAAAUUGCAACCCUCAUGCCACAUGUGAGCUCCCUGCCUUAUCCCAGAUAGGAGAGGGAGGAAAUGCUCCCAUUGGGCUGCUGGGCAGAGGGGUGGGUCAUCUGAGAAAUGAACUCAAGCACAUGUGGGGUGGGGGAGGGGGAUGCCCCCUCUGGCACAGGUGCCAUUGGUUUGCCAACACGGCUAUAGGCCUUUUCUGUUAAGGGAAUUUUCUGUAUUUAGGCAAGGUACUUAUUUCUUAUUCUGCUACUCCUGGUUAUAGACAGUUAUCUAGGGUCCUGAGAAAUUAGGUAACUUCUGGGUCACAGAGUAGGACUUACCAUAUGGGAAUUUAAUAACUUCCUGUCCACUAGGUCUUGCUGCCUUUCACUUUUAUAAAAAUCAAAGAUUUUUAACUUUUGUUUGCAUCAUGCACCUUUAGCAGUCCGACAAAGCUCCUGUAUCCCUCCUUAGAAUAUUUUUUAAAUAUUUAAAUAAUAUAUUUGUGAUGUUUUAAAACAUACAAGAUUAAGGAGUCUAAUAAUGUUGAAAUUCAGUUAGCAAAAUACUUUUUAAAAACUUAACAGGCCCUCGUUAACCCUUUCUUUGUAGUUAUUUGCAUACUUAUCACCCUUCUUGCCAUUCCUUGCACUACUCUCCUCUCUUCCCCCUUAGCUUAUAAGAUCUUUCAGAGCUAGGCUUUUGUAAUAGCUAUCCUCUGUGCUCUAUACAUCUUAGGGGUUUAAUAAGUAUUUUUAUUGAAUUAAUUUAGCCCAUGCAGAUAUACUUUUAUGCCACUAGUUAUAAAAAAUGCAUUUUAUAGUUCAUACUGUUCCUAUUUUCCAUUCCUCCUAGCUGCUAGUGCCUUUCCCUUUAAAAGUAUACCUUGUAUCUUCCUUCAUAGGAAUUUUGUAUAUACUUAUUAAUAUACUUAUCUUCUCCAUUAAGUAAGUUCUUUAGGGGCAGGGACUUGUAUCAACUUCCUGACUAAUUCUUGGUUGACUUAAAAGGGCAUUAGAUUGAAGAACUGGUUGGCAGCUUAUAUGUAUCUCCUAAGGUUUGUUACUUUUCCUUUUCCCUUCCUUCCCCUCUUGAUUUCAAGUUACUUCUUUAUAUUUGUGGCUUUUAGUUUUUUAUAUAUUGUUUGAGCAGGGAAUGGGGAAACUCAUUGACCCUCAGUAGAAAAAGGAUUAUCUAUCUGUAAAGCACACAAACAUUUUGGUAGUUUUUUGUGACUGGGUGAUUUUUGAAAACCAUUGUAUUUUGUGGUAACAAAUACUCUCUUUU
This is a non-coding RNA of Monodelphis domestica (gray short-tailed opossum), 2347 nucleotides long. NCBI's taxonomy places the organism in Eukaryota, Metazoa, Chordata, Mammalia, Didelphimorphia, Didelphidae. The record is from RefSeq and is a predicted model, not a curated record.